GCACCUGGGCUUGACAAAUUCCCAAAUGGCCUAGCGCCCCUUCUCUCUCCCGUGGAAGCAAUUCCCCAUUUCUCCACCCAGCUAGGGUUUCAUCUCGGCGAUUAGGAUGGCGAUUUCGUUGGCAGAGGGCGCGAGCGCGCGAGAACGCGUUCUGCUCGUCGGUGGAGGGAGAGAGCGCGGGGGAGGAAGGCUCGCUCGUCGGCGAAGGGCGAGCCGCGCGGUAGUGCGGCGAGCUCUACGUCGGGAAGCGAGGCUACCGGUCGGGCGGCGAGCUCUGCGGCGGAGAGCCAGAAGCGCGCGACGGCGGAGAUAUAGUCGUGCGCGAUGACAGGGUGCGAGGUGACGAAGGUCUGCGAAGGAUUUUGCCGACGUCGAGUUACAAAGGUAUUCCCCAGUGCGAAUCUUCCUCAAUCACGUGUUAUUCCCGUGUUGAGAUGCAAUUCACGCCCAUAUACGCACGAAUUCCAUGGGGAUUUAUCUGGCGGUAAUUAAUUCCCGUUCGUUUUUGUGUGUCCAUGCCCCCUAGCGCCGAUUCAAACCAUAGGGAAGUAGAUCUCGUGUAAAUGUUCGUGGUGCCCAUGAUGUGUAUGAUUUCAUCUUGCGUUAGCAGUUUCCCCUUGGCUGAAUUAGUUGAGUGGUGCACAUUGGAAAAGAAUGUGCAGCUUGUGAACGUCAUACUGGAGUUCUUGAUGAGCAUCGGGUAUGGUGCGAACAAGAUAGCCACACACGUAAUCCAUGUUUUGCAGAACACUCAGAAAAUGAUGCUAGAGCGAUUUGACUACCUCCUCGAAAGAGGGGCGGAGUACAAGAUGUUGUGUCAGAUAGUGAGUGUGUUCCCAAAGAUACUGAUCCAUGGCAAAGAUAUGCUCAAUGAGAAGUUGAGCUAUACAUCACUCUGGAGCUGGAGCUCGGAUACUCUUUCGAGUAUCUUGAUUGCUUCCCAGCACUAUUAUGCUUUGAUUUGGAGAACCGGGUCAAGCGUAGGAUGCAAUGCUUCGGUGGAUCCACCAUAAGAGAUGGUCUUUUUGUUGGGAUCAAAAGGACCGAAGAAUUUGUAUCUUCGAAGUUGCCAUGUGGUUUUUUCCUAUGAGUGUCAAAACGCAUCCCAAUAAACGAUUCAUGUGUACUGGAUGCAACUUCCUCAUUCAUGCCAGCUUCGUCAGGAACUCUUUCUUUCAAGUUAGGGUAUGUUGUAGAUUUUAUGUGUAAUGUAGUUCUGGGAUUGCUUUGGUUGACUGUAGUGUGUGGUGGCCUAUGGUGACGCGCCCCCUGCCACUGUUCAUCGUAACCACCGACCACUGCUCCUUGGUCAUGUAUAUUUGGCUUUGGAGAUUUGCCAACCAUCUCUUGUGCGGCAGCUUGAGUGCAAAACUGCGGCUCCAUGGCUUUCAUGCCAAAAUCUUCAGCUGAGGGAGCAUUGAGAUCCAAUCCUAACAUAUUUAAAAAUGAGAAUGUUCACUAGAAUUUAUUUUUAAUAUUCUAGUAAUGACCAUGGAGAAGCUUGUUGCUGCAUCUAACUAAGUUGUGUACUGAUCAUGGGUUAGUUGUUUCCUUAUCAUGCUUAAGUUGUGUACUGAACACACAUUAGCAAAAUGCAACCCACAUCAACUACUUCUUUUGUAGCAAGAUAGUUAUGUUGUAUAUUGGUUUCAUUGAGUUGUUUUUGUUCUUUUCAACUUGGUUUACUUUCGAGUUACUACUAGAAACCCACAAGUAGUAUAAUGAAUUAAUUGACAUGCCCCGAAGUAGUAUACCGAUUUAACUGAGUUCUUUCUUGUCAUCCGGCUAAGUUGCUUUCUUACACUAGAUAAGUUGUUUUACACAACCUAACUAACUUUAUUUCCACCAUGCAUUUAAUUUUUGGUUAAACAACCAAUGGCGUUCCUUAGCUUAGUAAGGAAUUUAAUUUGAAACUUGCUUUUCUAGCAAACAAACUUGAAAUCUGGUAACACAAAAAUGACAAAAGAGACGAACAAGCGUUCCCGCUUGCGUUUACCAGAAGCUGAGGCGUAGCAGGGAGCCUUCCAUGGCCUCGUCCAAAAACUUCCCAGCAGAUAUGUGUUUAAGGAUGAGAGACACAUACAUGAAACUCUCAACUAUUGCGAGAUGGAAAAAUGUAGCCAUUGAAUUUAUGAAUCAAGAGUAUGAACUACAGAGUGGAUCAGUUCCGGAUAUUACUCACAACUAACUAUUACAGAUACUUUUAUGGGGGUAGUUUUAGUUCUUUUGAUUCCUAUUAAGCUAUAUGGAUAAGUUGUCUAGCGAUUUAAUUAAAUUGGUUUAUAUCUAUAAUUAAGUUGUGUACUGAAAUAAGUUAAGUUGAUUCCUCGAGCAUUCUUAAGUUGUUGGUAUCCGUAAAAUUUAUUAGCUGUUUCUUUUAAGCAGCAUGCAUAAGUUGUCUAGAGAUUUAAUUAAGUUAUUUUAUCACUAUGCUCAAGUUGAGUAUACUGAAAUAAAUUAAGUUGAUUCCUAGAGUAUGCUCAAGUUGUUGGGUGUCGGUACAAUCUAUUUAGGUGUUCCUUUUAAGCAACAUGCAUAAGUUGUCUACUGAUUUUAUUUCUUGCUUUGUCAACAUGCUUAAGUUGAGUAUACUGAAAUUAAUCAAGUUGAUUCCUCCAGCAUGCUUAAGUUUGUGGGUAUUGGCGCAAUCUCUGUAGGUGUUCCUUUUGAGCAACAAGCAUAAGUUAUUCACUGGUUUAGUCAGUUGCCUUGUCAACAUGCUUAAGUUGAAACGGAAAAUUAAUUAAGUUCUAUUUUCAGUAUGCUUAAGUUGUAUGUGUAUCUACAAUCUAUCUUGGUUUUCAUUUUCGAGCAACAUGCAUAAGUUGGUUACUGGUCUAAUUAAGUUGCCUUGUCAACAUGCUUAAGGUACUUAUUUGUGAUAUUGCUAAGAUGUACCAGGAAGCGGUGGAUGCUGGACAGCGUACCUAGUACCAUCUCGGGCGAGGUAGUGGUGGAGGUCAUGGCGCCUGGUGGCGCCCCCGAUGCCUAGCGCGAGCGGAAGCCCGCCGUUUGUUGCUGGCCAAGGAACAGAAUAUGUAUUUUUUUGUGAUCCACUCGCAAUUUUCAGUCAAAUCGAGAUAUCCAUGGAGUUCUGAAGGAAGAAGAAGACCUGGAAUAGUAGUUUGUUGUGCAGAAAGGAAGAAGAGAUGGAGUAGUUUGCCAAGCACAUCUCACGCCCUGCACUGUGUUGUUUUGUACCUUACGUGUAACAUCUCUUUUCUUGGUUGGGUGCUGAAUCGGUCAAACCAGCAUCCGGAUGCUGGGUUGGACAAACAAGCAUCCGGAUGCUGAGAUGGACAAACCAGUACCGGAUGCUGGCUAGCCGGGUCCA
Molecule: long non-coding RNA, 3334 nt
Organism: Lolium perenne
Lineage: Eukaryota; Viridiplantae; Streptophyta; Magnoliopsida; Poales; Poaceae
Source: RefSeq, a predicted model, not a curated record